Molecule: non-coding RNA, 85 nt
Organism: Morus notabilis
Lineage: Eukaryota; Viridiplantae; Streptophyta; Magnoliopsida; Rosales; Moraceae
Source: Rfam
AGGCAGUGAUGAGCAAUUGAGAUGUCAUGCACCACUCUGAAAAUUGAUUGAUGACAAAUUUCUCAUACCCAUUACUCUGAUGCCU